Molecule: unclassified non-coding RNA, 500 nt
Filed under: Hevea brasiliensis (rubber tree)
Lineage: Eukaryota; Viridiplantae; Streptophyta; Magnoliopsida; Malpighiales; Euphorbiaceae
Source: RNAcentral
CGGGGGCUAAUUUUAGUUGUCUAUUUCUCUUUCGAAUCAAUUUUUUUUUUUAACAGGGUCAAUUCAAACUACGCCAGACCGAAACUAUCCCAAUAUUUUGAAUUUGCUUACGACUUUUUUUGACAGCAAAACAAAUAUAAUACCAUUCGUAUGGAACCAUGUCCAAAAAAGUCGUAAGCAAAUUCAAAAUAUUGUAUUGGAAACCCUAUGGUUAGGCCUAAUGCACACAACAGAUAUAACUUGUAACUAGGUCUAACCAAGAAUCUAAAUAGAAAGCAAAAUACAGCAUUACAGAUGUCUUGAUAAAAUUAUUUGAUAAUUUUGCCAACUAGACUAGAGAUCGUCACAGGCUCCAUGAUGAACAAACUAAAUUUGAUGCCUUCUGCCUAGUACCCAUAAUUUGUGCCAUAGACGGAGCCGUAGCCUCCAGUAUGGCCAGCAUGUCCCUGAUUGGACGGGGGAGAAGCAUAGACAGAACCAUGAGCUGCAUAAGGAUUAUA